UUUUAUGUUGUACUUGUUUCUUGACUGAUGAUGCUUGUGAUUUAUUUUUUCUUAUUCAAUUAUCAUCAUUAAAACCUUUAGAAGACAUUUACCUACACACCACACAAAACCAUAAAAUCUUGGUGUUUUGGCCCCUUGACUCCACCAAAUUUUCUUUUAAGGAGAUUGUUGUUAAGUUUUUUUUCUUUUUUCUUUUGUUUUUGGCUUUGACUUGAUUUAGAAAUUAUUCUCCUGGGUAGAGAUGUUGGAGAUUAUCUAGAUAUUUUUAUAGAUGUUCUCUUUUGGCAUCAAAAUUAAAAAAAUUAUUUGAUCUCACCUGCUUGACAUCUAGAAGAGUAUUCUUGAGUUUUAUGGGGGUUACAACCACUAUUAUGGGUCCAAUUUUUUUGGAUAAUCUUGUAGAUGUAUAGGUUUUUGGGAGUUUCUUAAUGCACCACAUAUGUUACUUAGGAACCACAAGAAAAUACUUAAAUACCUCUAAAUUUCGGAGAUGCAUCUCCGAACGCAUCCAAUUCUCAUUUAACGUUAAAAUAUUCUGGAGAUGCAUCUCUGAAAUAAUUUGGAGCUUAUAUCGCACAAGAACCAUUCUCCUUCCUCAUUUCUGAUAUUUCUCAAAACCUUUUCAAAUUCUCUCAAUUUUUUUUCUCGUCACCAAGUUCAAAAUCAAAUAACCAAGCUCAAAGGAUCUUCAAUCAACAUCAAAAACAUCAUCCAACACUGAAGC
Molecule: long non-coding RNA, 724 nt
Filed under: Lathyrus oleraceus (garden pea)
Lineage: Eukaryota; Viridiplantae; Streptophyta; Magnoliopsida; Fabales; Fabaceae
Description: Pisum sativum (pea) long non-coding RNA (PSAT_LNC041423)
Source: RNAcentral